AGAGUUUGAUCAUGGCUCAGGACGAACGCUGGCGGCGUGCUUAACACAUGCAAGUCGAACGGUGACGAUUGGAGCUUGCUCUGAUCUGAUCAGUGGCGAACGGGUGAGUAACACGUGAGUAACCUGCCCCAGACUCUGGGAUAACCCCGGGAAACCGGAGCUAAUACCGGAUACGAAACGGAGCCGCAUGGCUACUGUUUGGAAAGUUUUUCGGCCUGGGAUGGACUCGCGGCCUAUCAGCUUGUUGGUGAGGUAAUGGCUCACCAAGGCGACGACGGGUAGCCGGCCUGAGAGGGCGACCGGCCACACUGGGACUGAGACACGGCCCAGACUCCUACGGGAGGCAGCAGUGGGGAAUAUUGCACAAUGGGCGAAAGCCUGAUGCAGCGACGCCGCGUGAGGGAUGACGGCCUUCGGGUUGUAAACCUCUUUCAGCAGGGAAGAAGCGAAAGUGACGGUACCUGCAGAAGAAGCACCGGCUAACUACGUGCCAGCAGCCGCGGUAAUAC
Molecule: ribosomal RNA, 509 nt
Filed under: uncultured bacterium
Lineage: Bacteria
Description: bacterial SSU rRNA
Rfam family: Bacterial small subunit ribosomal RNA
Source: RNAcentral